Molecule: ribosomal RNA, 158 nt
Filed under: Lasallia pustulata
Lineage: Eukaryota; Fungi; Ascomycota; Lecanoromycetes; Umbilicariales; Umbilicariaceae
Description: 5.8S ribosomal RNA
Rfam family: 5.8S ribosomal RNA
About the family: 5.8S ribosomal RNA (5.8S rRNA) is a component of the large subunit of the eukaryotic ribosome. It is transcribed by RNA polymerase I as part of the 45S precursor that also contains 18S and 28S rRNA.
Source: RNAcentral
AAACUUUCAACAAUGGAUCUCUUGGUUCUGGCAUCAAUGAAGAAUGCAGUGAAAUGCGAUAAGUAAUGUGAAUUGCAGAAUUCAGUGAACCAUCAAAUCUUUGAAUGCACAUUGCACCCCCCAGCAUUCUGGGGGACAUGCCUGUCUGAGCGUCAUUG